Sphaeramia orbicularis (orbiculate cardinalfish) is the source of this 170-nucleotide long non-coding RNA. RefSeq lists it as uncharacterized. The record is from RefSeq and is a predicted model, not a curated record. The transcript is spliced from 3 exons. Lineage: Eukaryota; Metazoa; Chordata; Actinopteri; Kurtiformes; Apogonidae.
AAUAUAAAAGACAGUUAAUGCAAACACACCCAUUUGUACUCUUCUAUUCCCUCACCCAAUGAGAAUCGAUAAGAGAAUCGAUAAGGAAUCGGAUCGAUAAGCAAUAUCGAUAAUGGAAUCAGAAUCGUUAAAUUGUUAACGAUUCCCAUCCCUAACCCCAGUUCAGACCG